AUAAGUAAAAACUGUAGAAAGUAAAAAAAAGGGGGAGGGGUGCACAGCCACAAGUACUUGUUUUCUAUCUGUGACAAGAGCUACUAUCCCUAUAUAUUAAGGCUACAAGUGUCUGCUCUGUUAUUUUUUGAUAAUCAUUGAAGCAUAAAAGUCUUAUCCAUGUUAUCAAUAUCAGAAAAUGUGAAGCUAAACAUCUCAGCACUUUAGAUAUUUGGGUCCAUUACAAACUCCGCACAUUUCAAACUUGGCAUAUUACCAACCCGGCCUAUUAAUGAUAAUGCUGCAUAUAUCACUGGGGGUCGUCGCUAACAUGCAUGAAA
RNAcentral lists this long non-coding RNA (320 nucleotides) under Mytilus galloprovincialis (Mediterranean mussel). Lineage: Eukaryota; Metazoa; Mollusca; Bivalvia; Mytilida; Mytilidae. The record is from RNAcentral.